This 28-nucleotide small RNA is filed under the name Bombyx mori (domestic silkworm). Its description in RNAcentral is "ovarian small RNA-9727". The record is from RNAcentral. Lineage: Eukaryota; Metazoa; Arthropoda; Insecta; Lepidoptera; Bombycidae.
UUGCGUUAAGCGCCCUAUAAUCGCCACA